RNAcentral lists this ribosomal RNA (253 nucleotides) under uncultured bacterium. RNAcentral describes it as "partial 16S ribosomal RNA". It matches the Rfam family "Bacterial small subunit ribosomal RNA", at positions 524 to 776 of the family's 1533-position model. The record is from RNAcentral.
UACGUAGGGGGCACGCGUUGUCCGGAAUCAUUGGGCGUAAAGAGCGUGUAGGCGGCUCGGUAAGUCCGCUGUGAAAGUCCAGAACUCAACCCUGGAAUGCCGGUGGAAACUGUCGAGCUAGAGUCCGGAAGGGGCGAGUGGAAUUCCUGGUGUAGCGGUGAAAUGCGCAGAUAUCAGGAGGAACACCAAUGGCGAAGGCAGCUCGCUGGGACGUGACUGACGCUGAGACGCGAAAGCGUGGGGAGCAAACAGG